UAGAGUUUGAUCCUGGCUCAGAUUGAACGCUGGCGGCAGGCCUAACACAUGCAAGUCGAGCGGAUGAAGAGAGCUUGCUCUCUGAUUCAGCGGCGGACGGGUGAGUAAUGCCUAGGAAUCUGCCUGGUAGUGGGGGACAACGUCUCGAAAGGGACGCUAAUACCGCAUACGUCCUACGGGAGAAAGCAGGGGACCUUCGGGCCUUGCGCUAUCAGAUGAGCCUAGGUCGGAUUAGCUAGUUGGUGAGGUAAUGGCUCACCAAGGCGACGAUCCGUAACUGGUCUGAGAGGAUGAUCAGUCACACUGGAACUGAGACACGGUCCAGACUCCUACGGGAGGCAGCAGUGGGGAAUAUUGGACAAUGGGCGAAAGCCUGAUCCAGCCAUGCCGCGUGUGUGAAGAAGGUCUUCGGAUUGUAAAGCACUUUAAGUUGGGAGGAAGGGYWGUAGAUUAAUACUCUGCAAUUUUGACGUUACCGACAGAAUAAGCACCGGCUAACUCUGUGCCAGCAGCCGCGGUAAUACAGAGGGUGCAAGCGUUAAUCGGAAUUACUGGGCGUAAAGCGCGCGUAGGUGGUUUGUUAAGUUGGAUGUGAAAGCCCCGGGCUCAACCUGGGAACUGCAUUCAAAACUGACAAGCUAGAGUAUGGUAGAGGGUGGUGGAAUUCCUGUGUAGCGGUGAAAUGCGUAGAUAUAGGAAGGAACACCAGGCGAAGGCGACCACCGACAUACAC
Molecule: ribosomal RNA, 733 nt
Filed under: Pseudomonas mohnii
Lineage: Bacteria; Pseudomonadati; Pseudomonadota; Gammaproteobacteria; Pseudomonadales; Pseudomonadaceae
Description: bacterial SSU rRNA
Rfam family: Bacterial small subunit ribosomal RNA
Source: RNAcentral